ACGCAAGCUAAUUAUCCAAUAUUGCACUAACAUUAGAAUUAAAAUAAUUAGAAGUAAAAUAAUUUUCUAUUUAAAGAAAUGGAAUAUAUACGUAUAAAUAUUUUGGAAAGUAUGGAAACUUCAAUAAAGUUCUUAUUAUAAUUUGAGCAAUGGAUAUUUUGUUAAAAUAGUAUGCUAUUGUUGAGCGACGUCCACUCUAACAUUUACAGUGUUAAAUUACUAAAGUAAUUUAUGCAUGCUGCAUUGUGCCGAUUCAACGCGGUAACUCGACGUCGGUCCCCCCCGAUCAUUCAAUGAACCUAUUAACGCCGCAUAAUUGACGCAAAGGCUAAGGCCGCGAAUCAGGAGCCAUUUCGUGGAAGUGAAGAAACAAGGUGGGAGAAUUACGCGCGACCUGUCCAGACAAAGGUUAAUUCAUGCGAAUACUCGGCGCAUACGCUUGUCGAAGCGACGAGUAAUGGACGGCCGGUAACUUGAGAAAUAUUCGAUUCCGUUCGACGUUUCAUUAAACCGCACGACGCCGCAGUCUCCGCAACGCGACGGCAUCUCGCCGCUGGACCGGGAGCCGGAGAAGGAUAGCGGGAUCGCGAGUCCAUCCCGCGAGAAGAGCGGAGAGAGGCGGGAAUGUGACGUGGAUGAACAGAGGAGGGGAAGAGAACGCGGGAGAGAACGAGGGAAAGAGGCUCUCUCUUUAUCGAGUACCCGGCAGACAAAUCCAGGCGGUCUUUCAUCUCCGUCUCUAAAUGCGAUACUCGAGAAAACGGACAUCACCCACAUACCUGUCCAGGCCAUUGGCUCCGCCGUGCCAACGCGAACGUACGCAUGCACGCAGCAAGCAAUCACGUACGCACGUACGAGACGCGCACACGUAAACGUCGCGCGUGAGAAGCGAACGAUUUGUGUACCUUGGAGUAUUAGGCAAACGAUACGGACCACUUAAGGAUUUCUUAACCAAUAGCCAUAGCAUUUCGCCAAAGGGGACACUCGAUCAGCUGCGACUGAGAGAGAAGCGCGCUCCAACAUGUCGGCUACCUAUUUAUGCACGCAUCAUUAAUCGCUCCAAAUAAAACGUAACUCGAAGUCGAUCAUGCCGAUAACGGAUCAUGCUCGUUCUAUGCUUUUCCUUUUCUGUAUAAAAUCCGCGAAACUCUUGCUCAAUGAAACGGAUACAAAAAAAAAAAAAAUUGUGGUACUAAGCUAUGAUUGAAAAUGUACGUUGGAAAAUUCAAUUAUUCUAGCCCGCGAAAAAUUUAAUUCUCUCUUCUCGGAAAAAAAAAUAAAUUCAGCUACAUCAUAGCGAUAAAUUAACGACACAAAACUCGGACAAAACGUUUCAUCCGAGAAUCUGCAAAUGAGAGAAAAACAUAAUUAAAUUCCUAAUUCCCUCAGAGAAACGUCCACAUUUCUCACUUAAAUAAUAAAGCGACCGGUAAUAUAGUUUUUCAAUGCAGAGAAAACGUUAAAAGCUGCUCUCUGGGUUCGUUGCAUGUUCAACUACACAGAAGAAACGUACGAGUAAUAUAUAUUCGAGUAAUAUAUAUUCUACAUGUUCUCAAAUUUCCGGAUGCUUAAACACAUUGUACGCGUUUAACAGUAAAUUCGUCACUCGCGUGCCAGAAUCCAUCUUCGAAGCUGCACCAAAAAGAGCACUAUUGUUCGAAUAUACUCCUUUAUGGCAGAAAUACCACAUUUCGCGAGGCAUCUUGCACGUAGGGUUCGCAUGCAAGAAAAUUGACUCACCGCAAAAAGAUGGAAAAGAGGACACCGUAAACUUUUCAGGACGUCCAUUAAGCAACGAGCAUGAAACUAAAUAUUUUGUAAAAAGAAUGUACGUUUGCAUAACGAAAAAUUGAAGAAAGAAAGUUUUAUCCCGUGAUCAUUAGUAUAAAAUCAAGAGCAACGAGAUCAACAUCCUGCUCGUAAGUAAGAUUAAUUUAAUGUCAUGUUGACAAGUUUUUGUGUUCACAGUUUUAGAAGAAGAUAAAUGUGUUGUGUGCAUAAAAUAAUGCUCCUAGUACGAUUCAACUGAGAAUUCUUAUAUCGCACAUGCGCGUUAUUAUUUUCGAAUGUUUUCGUGAAAGAGAACAGUGACAAUGAAAAGAUCGAGACAAUGAUUUUUAUACGAGGAAUGGUAUUACGUUCGAAUUCAGGCAGGUGCCAAUGGACAUGUUUAAAAUAACACACGGGGAAGUUAGCGCGAUGACAAUCCAAUUCCUUGGCGUCACGUAUCAACUUCACGAUCUUUCUUCAAAGAUAUUUGAUCGUGAGAUACGUUUACGUUGCUUGAUGGCGUAUCGUGGAAGAAACGAGAGACGCAAAGUGCGCACGUGUCUUUGGCAGAAAGUGACGGAAGAGUGAAGAGAGGGAGAGAAAAGAGGGAGAAAGAUGAAAUUUGGAGAUAUCGCAAUUUGGGGGCAAAAGCCCAGAGCAUUACCAUUUAAGGAACCAUCGCACGCAUUCGGAGAUUAAAGGGCAGAACGGAAGAUGGAAUAAUAAACGAGAGAAGGGAAGCACGCGCGCUAACGAGAUUUGGGUUUCUACCUGUCACGUCCUUUCGAUUCUAACUAAAGUCGAACUAAAAACCGACGGUUAACAAGGCGAUACAACGUUCAAAGUUAUCCAAAAAGAAACGCUGUCACGCAUUUUGAAAUGAUAAUUAUUUGAGAUUGCUGUAAUUAUUUGAGACGCCUGUAACUGCUCAACUUUAAUUAAAAAAAUAUCUUGAGUGUUCACAAAGUGCAAAAAAAUUGUUUAAUCUAGGAGGAUAAAUAAUUUACCAUAAUAUUUUAAUUAAAUGGUACGAGGUAAAAUUACGUAAAAUUUGUUCAAAGGAAGUUAAAUUUGUAAUAUUUUUACCUUGAGAUUAUCUGUUAAUAUAGAUAAUAAAACAUGUAAUUAAAAUUUUGUACCAGAAGGCGAAUAUAUUUCGUAUAUAAAUCCAAAAAAAUUAAUUAUGUAAACAAAAAGAAAUAUACAUAUGUAUACAUGUAAAAUUACUCAGUUAACUACUCUGUUUUAUUCUAAAUUUACACUCCUGAAAAGUCGAAUUUUAAAUAACUGUUAGCACACUCGUUUAUAGCCGUGAACUAUUUUCGUCAGUAGACUUCGCCUGCUGCUUAUAAAACGAAUGAUACGGAGAGAAUAGGUAAAUGCACUGUAAGUAUAAAAUGUCGCUUAAAUGUAGAAUGUUCCUCGGAAAUAAGAGGUCAUAAAGAAGUAAAGUCGUAAGCCAUAAAAUCGGUGCCGUCCAGCGAAUGUUCUACAAUCGUGUAAGUUUAUAACUUCAUUGUGCCAUCGUAGAUAAGAGAAUACCUUAGUAGAAAGUGACGAUGCCCUCGCGAUUGUCGCGAUUGUCGUUCGCUAGAAAAAUAACGUUUCUCCCCGCGCAGAUUCCAUUUCCGUACAGGAUAUCGCAGAAAUUUAACAAUUUCUCUUGCGUUAUUUUUGCUUUCCGAUACUCGGAAAUGCUGCGGUAUGCCGUUUUAAUAUCUUUUCAUGCUUUAGAAAGUCCUACAUUUUACGUUCACUCUGGAAUAAAAUAUGCCAGAAUGCACGGCUUGAAGUGCGUAAUACCAGAUUAAAUUCUCCAAAAAAAUGUUAGAAAGGAUCUUUCUCUAAUUCUCCGAGUUUAUUGGCUGUGCAUUUACUAGCGAAGCGCGAUCAACAUAAUGCUACGCGGAGAGAAAAAGUUACUCAAUGAAUAUUCGCUCGAAUAGUUACAAUGAAAUACUUACUAAAUGCAAAUAAAUAUUUAUAAUAUUUAGUAGAAGAACUAUUAAUUUAAUUUAACUAUUGUUUUUUUAUUGAAUAAAUAUUUAUGUACCGUAAGCAAACGUUUCAUUGCAAUUAUACUCAAACAAAUAUUUAUUAAAAUUUAAUAAUUUUUUCUCUCAGUGUACACUUCUUAAACGUCUGACAAUAAUUGUGAACUGUAAAAUUACGGACAGUAAUUAUAAAUGUAAUGGAGUAUUUAUUUUUUUUUUAAAUUUAGCUUUAAAGUUUUUUAUAUGUCGAGGCUGUAAGGUGAAUGUUAUUAUCGCUUUCUAAGUUGAAGACCAAACCCGCCCGUGGCAGUACGUUUAUUACUGCGUAAUGACCAAAACCAUCUUGGUCACGCUUCAAAACGGUAAACGAAACGGCCGCCGGCGAAUCGGGAAAGUGUGAUUGGAAUUGACCAGGGAGGGCAGAGGACUCGCUGCCUCGUAAACUAACGAGACGUCGAAGCGGUAAUGCCGGCCAUAAUUCGCGACGAGUUACGGAGCAAACGGCCGCGUCGUCGCGUAGUCGUGCGCUUUGAGAUGGCAUAAUUGGUAUAUAAAGUAGAAAUUAAGUUGGCAACUGCGGAGUGAA
Molecule: long non-coding RNA, 4350 nt
Organism: Solenopsis invicta (red fire ant)
Lineage: Eukaryota; Metazoa; Arthropoda; Insecta; Hymenoptera; Formicidae
Exons: 3
Source: RefSeq, a predicted model, not a curated record